Larimichthys crocea (large yellow croaker) is the source of this 1028-nucleotide long non-coding RNA. RefSeq lists it as uncharacterized. The transcript is spliced from 3 exons. Lineage: Eukaryota; Metazoa; Chordata; Actinopteri; Sciaenidae. The record is from RefSeq and is a predicted model, not a curated record.
CACUGAAAAAAUGGAAGAAGGAGGGUUGUUCAAUUUACAAGUAUACAUUUUGUAUAGGCUACAUAAUUGAUUUAUAUUUCUCUCCAAAACAUGAUUAAAUCUUUUAAAAGUAUUAUAAUACUGAGGAAUUUUCAACCUACAUGUCUCUGUCAUUUUAAGAAGAAAGAAAAAAGUUAAGUUAUGUUUUAUCCGCCUCGAGGGGCGGUCUAUUGGCGGUCUAUUAGAAAACGGCUGUUAAAGACCUGCAGGCUCCGACACUUUCUCCCUCGCUACCUCGCUGGAUUUUGGCUACUCUGGACACGAUAAAGAUUAAUGCUGAAUUCAAACGGAAAAUGCCCCUGCAGUCCAGAUUUCUGUCUCAAUUAGAUGUUCACUCCGAGAAACUGAUCAGACUUUUUAAAAACAGAGGAGGACAGAUAGGCAGACGCCUAGGGGGCAUCAUUGCACCCAUGGAUGAAGUAAGUAUACUCUCUGGGGUGGAAACAACUUGUGCUUCUGCCUUAGGAGGAGGAUGUGGAUCUGGGAAGAGAAUGCAUAAUGAAGGGACUCUGCGUUUACCUGGACGAGGACCCGGAGAACCUGGUGAGAGAGUAUGUGGCAGCAGAUUCCCUCCAGGAAUCCAUUGAGGAAACCACCAUGGGUAUAUAAGUCUUGAAACUCAGAGAUGCCAGUGAAAAACCAGAGGACAUCGGCAUUGUCCUCGAGUCCCAGAUUGUGAUGCAGGAUCUAGACAAUGUUCCUUUAGCUGCUGCCAUGUUGUUUGGCCUGAUUUAUGCGCUGAACUUAAACUACCCUGCUGAGCUUAAGUACACCUUUUUGAAGUACUGCAGAAGGUGGUCAUGGAGCUUGAAGGAAGUGCACUUUCAAAAAAAGCCCAAGUCCUGAAGAACAGACUUUACCAGUGAACUGGCUAUCCAGGCUCUCCAGCUUGAUGGAGCUUGAAGACAUACUGUAUGCAUUAUUUCAACUCUUCCAGUUGUUGGACUUUUCUUUUGGGCAGGUGGGAGGCUUUUUUUAUUUCUUUUCUC